RNAcentral lists this transfer RNA (84 nucleotides) under Pascua guehoae. RNAcentral's name for it is "tRNA-Leu". It matches the Rfam family "tRNA". From Rfam's summary of the family: Transfer RNA (tRNA) molecules are approximately 80 nucleotides in length. Their secondary structure includes four short double-helical elements and three loops (D, anti-codon, and T loops). The record is from RNAcentral. Lineage: Eukaryota; Fungi; Basidiomycota; Tremellomycetes; Trichosporonales; Trichosporonaceae.
ACAAAUGUGUCGAAAUUGGUAGACGAGCUUCACUUAGGAUGAAGUGUCCGUAUGGACGUAAGAGUUCGAGUCUCUUCAUUUGUA